AGAAUCAACGCUGGCGGCGUGCCUAACACAUGCAAGUCGCACGAGAAAGGGGAGCAAUCCCUGAGUACAGUGGCGCACGGGUGAGUAACACGUGAAUUAUCUACCUCCGAGUGGGGAAUAACUGAGAGAAAUCUUAGCUAAUACCGCAUAACACUUACGAGUCAAAGCAGCAAUGCGCUUGGAGAGGAGUUCGCGGCCGAUUAGUUAGUUGGCGGGGUAAUGGCCCACCAAGACGAUGAUCGGUAUCCGGCCUGAGAGGGCGCACGGACACACUGGAACUGAAACACGGUCCAGACUCCUACGGGAGGCAGCAGUGGGGAAUUUUGCGCAAUGGGGGAAACCCUGACGCAGCAACGCCGCGUGGAGGAUGAAGCCCCUUGGGGUGUAAACUCCUUUCGAUCGGGAAGAUAAUGACGGUACCGAUAUAAGAAGCCCGGCUAACUUCGCGCCAGCAGCCGC
RNAcentral lists this ribosomal RNA (459 nucleotides) under uncultured bacterium. RNAcentral describes it as "SSU rRNA". It matches the Rfam family "Bacterial small subunit ribosomal RNA", at positions 26 to 518 of the family's 1533-position model. The record is from RNAcentral.